CUAUUGAUUGUAAUUAAAUUAAUUGUAGAAAAAAAUUGAUUAAUUGAACGCUGGAAAUAAUUAUUUUUGGGAUAAGAGAAAGGACAAUGAAACGUUGAUUUUUGAAUCAUCUUUAUUCACGCAAAACAAGAAUAGACUUAAAUAUUCGUGUCGAUAAUCAUACGCGUACACACACGUGUAACGUACACAUCGCUUAGGUACAUGAAGCGCGUGUACGCAUUUCUUGUAUGCAUAUACGUGCGAUAAGACAAUAUAAUAUACAUUAUAUAUCUAUAUAUAUCUAUAUAUAUAGAAUUGUACAAGAAUCAAAUUGGAUAGUAUACGCAUUCUUAGCCGUUUCACUUUUCGUUUCUACCUGCGCAUCUCGAAAGCGUAACAAUGGUAAUGCCGACGCAAAACACGAACAAGUUGAUAAACUAGAGAAGAGAAAAGAAAGGGGUCAAAGGAAAGGGGAACGAAGAAAGAGCAAAAGGUAAAAGGGUUUUGGCGGUUGUUCGGUUUCAAUCGAAAAAUGAUUCGCAUUCCUCGGCAAAGUGCUGGUGCGCAGCUGUAGAAACAAAAUGAAUACGCGUCGACAAGAAGAUUCUGGAACGGUGUCGGAAUGAGGUUCAAUACUGAUUUUGGAAUGCUCGUAAUUCCCUAAACUGGGAAUGCGUUAGAAUCUUAAAUAAUAUUCGAUAACAUUAAAAAAGGAAUCUCGAUAUCGGCCAGUUACUAACGAUUCCUGCAAGACAGUCAGAGAUCAUCCAUUGGAGCACGAAUAAUACACAAUGUUACGCGAUAAACGAUAGACGCCGCGUUCUAUCGCCGCAUAUUUUUUUUUUUUUCAUUUUUCAUUUUUCAUUUCUCUUACGACACGAUAGAAUCGCGUCGAAGAACAUUCGUCGAUAAGUUUUAUGACCGCUUUACGAUCGCCCUUCUCGAAACUAAAGAAUGUGAAGAAAUAAAUAAAUAUUACGCGUCUACUACAUACGGGUAACGUACUCCGUUCAUCGUUCGACUCACACUUACGAGCGUCAGUGUGCAUCGGUCGUUUCAUUGACACCGGAUCUGUCGCUCGUCCGUUCGAUUUCGUUUCUCUGUUUCUCCUUUCUCUAAACAUAUUUUGAAAUGAACACGGAGUUCGUCGUAGCGAUAUCGUGACAAAUUGUAACAACAAUAAGUAUACUAUAAACUAACAAUACAAUAUUAUAUAACGUAAUAUAAAAUAAUAUGAUAUAAUAGUUAACGAUAGUAAUGGUGCGAGGGGUUAGUGGAAGAAAGUGCAUAUGAAACGAUAGAAAGAAUUAGAUAAUUUAUAAUAAGCGAAUAAUUAUUGUGAUUCUGAUCAAAGUGUUCGAAUUUUGAAGUUGAAAUUUUCGACGCCAUGAUGAAGAUACGAAGAGAACGAAGUAAGUAGAGAGCCCAUCGACAGUAUCGAUAAUAUCGAUGUUCGAGAGAUAGCGGUAAGGGUUAGAAGUAGGAAUAGUAGAGUGUGCUAUAUAGUAGCACGAUAUUAAUGAUGGUGGCAAUUAGAGAAAUAUAAAUGAUGCUAAAAAAGUAGCCCGUGCGUGAUAAUCGCGAUUUUUCAAUGCCCUUUUCUUGCCAAUCGAGUUAACGAUUCUCCGAUCGGUAACACUCUACAUCGGAAUGAUAUUCGCGUCGCGUUGCAUAACCGUAGAUCUGACUGUCGCGCGUACGAAACGUAAGUCUCGUCCAGGAUCGUUCGUUUCCGCAAGUGUUUUUCCAAUGAAAAUUUCGGCAAAGGGGAAAAAGGAUAAAUAGAUGCGUCGUGUAUAAGUAACGGGAUACACGUGGAACGACAGCGACGAAUAAGAAGCAGAAAUUGCCUCGAGUACACGUGCCGUUGAAUUUCACUGGAACCAGUGGGUGCCAAAGGGUCGCGGAGGAACGUAAGCCACGUACUUACAAUUGCUGGCUGUGUCACAAUUUAGAGGAUUUAGAAAAAUUCGAAGACGAAUGAUGGUAAAAAGGGUAUCGAAGGAAAGACAAAUAAUUAAUGUAUUUUAUUUUAUUGAGAUGAUACUUAAUAACAUAAUCCAUUGUGUUCUGGUUCUAGGGAAAAAUUCGGAAGCAUCUUGACGUCAGCGCUAUCAGCGUCCUACCUAUUGACAGUUCGAUAUAUCGAGAAUCGCGGCUUACUUUUGACGUAUCUACACCGUUGGAGACUAUUCGAGUUGGUUAACGGUAAUGAAAAUAUGAAUUAAGAAUAUAGGGAGACGAUCGUGUACAUGGCGACGCUGUGGCGCCAAGCGUUGCAACAAAACACUGACCUUCUUUCAUCGACGGAAAAAUAACCAAGUCUAAAUUGAGCCAAUUGAUCGUCGAGGGGCGGAAUCGACAUUUCGUCAGUGCUGAACAAAUUUCUUACAACCAUCCAUUCCCUAUUUCAUCUUCUUUACUUUACUUCCUUCUUCCCUCUUUCUCCCUCACUCUAUCUCUGUUCCACCAUUUUUUUCCCAACUCCUUUCAAUCGAGCCUAAUGAGCCUCUAUUAUCAGCAACUAUAAAUUAAGUUGAAAAAUACUAGCCAAAUCAAGAUUCCACGCGACCUUCGACAUGCGCAACGUACACCCCUUCUGGGAAUUCACCGUAGAAAAGAAUUUGGUCAAUACUGUACCCGAAAUAUAUAAUUAACUCUAA
Long non-coding RNA from Osmia bicornis bicornis, 2642 nucleotides. RefSeq lists it as uncharacterized. The transcript has 2 exons. Lineage: Eukaryota; Metazoa; Arthropoda; Insecta; Hymenoptera; Megachilidae. The record is from RefSeq and is a predicted model, not a curated record.